ACGAUGGGGGACACCAGAAAUGGGCUUCACACAUUGUACCCAUGUCAGGAAUCGAACCAGGGUCUUCGGCGUGACGAGAGAAUGCUUUAACCACUAGGUUACCCGACCCCCCGAUGUCAUAAAGAGGGACGUUUGACUUCAACUUAAUUUCGUAAAGAAUUGCUAUGUGUGCAGACUUACAAAAGCAUCUUAUUUUUCUCUCAUUAGUUUGUAACGUAAUAAAAAACAUUAUUUCAAAACAAUGUCAGCAUACAUGUCUACAUUCAAUUAAUCAUAAAUAAACUUGCAGUUAUUGCAUAAACAGUUAUAAGUAUGAUAAGUCUGAAAAUGGGAUAAAAUAUUUGAUGCCAUGUAUCUCUGUAAUAAAUAUUAAUUAAAGCUUAUGAAUUGUAUUUUUAUGGGCCUAAGAUGCUGUAGUUUUUAAAUAUGUUAAGAAGUCAAAAUGUGAUUUUUUACCAAUAAGGUCCCUCAGCUCAUGGUUGGUCACUGACUGUUAACUUGAUCAAAACAUAGUCGGCACAAAACAUCCUUUUCCAAUUUGCUUUUUCUUCAUUCUUAUUUUGACGGCUCUAUGUUGUUUUUGAAUCUGUAAACCAAAUUGUCAAGAAAGGCCUCAAUAUUAAAUGUUUGCACAUCAUGUAUAUUGUUAUUUGGUACAUAUAUUUUUGAAAUGUCAGAAGUGUUAUUUUUCCAGACUGUAGAAAUAUUCCCUGUAGUACACGUUUCUUGCACAUAAGGGGAGAUAAGUCAUUUCAGGCCACAUUCAUGUUGAAUUAUGUCUCCAAAUAUUUACUUUGAAAUUCCUUAAAUUGGUGAAAAGUUAACUUGUAACCUGGUGUCAUUGUGAGGUGAUGUGAACGAGGGGUUUAAUGUCGUGUCCAAGAUUAUAGCACCAACAGUGACGUGUGUGUGUGGCUGUGUGUGUGGCUGUGUGUGUGGCUACGGAUGCUUGUACUAGUCUGGACUAAUGCCGAUUUUAUAGUGCUGGCCCUCUGAGAUACCAUGCCUUAGUCUGACAUGAACACCCCACUGAGACACAGAAUACUGACUCAUGGUUUUAGCCCCCUAAUGCCACACAGGGUAACAAGGAGAAAAUCUUUUUUACAUCUUUUGGUAUGACUAGGCAGGGGAUCGGACCCCUGACUUUCCACUCUCCAGGCAGACACUUUACCACAAGAACACUGGUGUAAUUGUGAUACUUCCUGAUUUACUGUUAGGUCAUGCUAACCAGUUUAUUAAUGUAUUGUCUUAUGUUACCUGGUUUAAUCAUGUACCGUGUUACCUGGUUUAAUGAUGUUCCAUGUUACCUGGUUAAAUGAGUGUGGCGUUAUAACAAACAAAAUAAUGUUACCUAGUUUAAUAAUGUAACCUCGUUUAAUGUUACCCUGUUCAAUGAUGAUUCAUGUUACCUGGUUUAAUGUUCCAUGUUUUAAUGUUGUACCAUGUUACCUGACUUAACGAUGUACCAUGUUACCUGGUUUAAUGUUACCUGUUUUAAUGAUGUUCCAUGUUACCUGGUUUAAUGAUGAAAGGUGUCAUGUUAUCCUUUUUUAUGUAUUGUCAUGUUACUUUGCGUCACUGAAGAGAUUGUAUCUCACUUCAACAUGCAUUAUAUGGUGAUGUUUCCUUGUUGCUAUAGUUAUGGAUGUAGCCAUCAUUUAUACUGUACAUUAACAUUGCAUUUGUCACUGCACUGAGGCUACCAAGUCCCUUCAUGUCUAGAUUCUGUAGUUACAGGACCCAAACUACAUGUUGAUGGUGUUUCAACUGUGAAUUGGUCAGUCAACCUGGCAUGGGGGACCAUCAGAGAAAACCAUCUCUCCGACAUAUGCUUGCUGUGGGGAUACUUCGAUAGAGCAGGUCCCCAGUACCCAAUGCUUGUCAGAAGAGACAACAAAAACUUGCUGUGGGGAUACUUCGAUAGAGAAGGUCCCCAGUACCCAAUGCUUGUCAGAAGAGACAACAAAAACUUGCUGUGGGGAUACUUCGAUAGAGAAGGUCCCCAGUACCCAAUGCUUGUCAGAAGAGACAACAAAAGUGUAUAAUGUGGGCAGUAGCUGAUUAUGUCUCAUCAUUCCUCAUGCAACCACUGGUCAGUCAGGACUAGACUUCACAGCUCAUUGUUGUGUGAAAAAACAACCUUGUUUAAUUAUUUAACUGUAUGUAUUGCAUUAUCAUAUCUCCAUAGAGAGUACUUAUUCUUACACAUGAUCAGCCAUUAAGAUAUAAGCUAUAAGAUAGCUCACCCAUGUAAACUUUGUAUAUGUUGGCUUGGAGCCGGGGUUGACUUUUCUGGAGUCAGAAUGUUUGAUUUGGGAGCUCAGCUCAGUUGUACAUAGCCAUUAACAUUGCAAGUCAACUCAUGAAAUCACUAUUGUUCAAGACAUCACAUGGAUUUCACAUUUGGAAAACAAAUUCAUUCCAGUAGCACUGACAUUCUCUAUUGCAUGUCCGUCAUUGAAAGACAUCAAAGAAAGAUAUCAUGAGAUUCUAAUUAUCACCACUGUCAUAGCAAUGCAGAUACAUUGUUUUUAUAUGGAAUCGAAGUCAAAGGCAUAUCUCUAAUAGUCUUUUUCCUUAGUUUAGUCCCUUAACACGCAUUACCACACAAAUACCUUCAAACAUAAAUACUUCACCAUUAGUCGUACAAUUAGUCAUGUAAAAAGAACUUGCAGUUUUUGUUUACUUUGCCUGAAAACUUUAGAAGCAAGGUUGACAAAAUAUAUGCUACUCACUGAAUAAUUUCUUGUACAUUAGAAUAAGGGACCCUUAAAGGUACCAAUGAAACAGACCGUUCACUAUGACUAUGCAAAAUAUGUGUACAUACUUGUUUCCUUUGAAUAUUUCAUACCUCAUUCAAAUCACUUCUGCAUUUUUCGCAAAAAAUAAAGCAGGUUAUCUGUACAUUGUGAGACUUUCUUCAUAUGCUGUAGGUGGAAAAUCACUGAUCUUGGCGCAGGAGUCAAGUAAAAUGAGUGGAAAUAACGUGUACAAUUUGUCCAAACUGCAGCAUUGUUCAGGCUAUUGACCAUGAGUGUGCCGCCCAAGACUGGACUAUAUGACAAGGCUGGAGACUAAAACAAAGCAUAAAUCAGCAUCCAUUCGCUCUUCAUCAGCUGCCACCAACAUGUACUUGAGACUGACAACAAAACACUGUCUAUUUUACCUAUGGUUUUAUUAACAUCUGGUGUAGUUGCACUCCACUUUGAAUCAUGAUGGUUCUAUAUAGGACUCUAGUAUGAAAAGAGGAGAAAGUAAAUGCAAAUGGUUUGAUAUGACCUUGAUAAAUGACAACAGGUGUGCACAGAAGACUGAAAUCACGGACGAUCAUAGAGGAUCAACUAAAGACACAAAUAAUGUCAUCUUUACAAGAGUAUCACAUGUGAUGCGCUUUGUUCAUUUGCUUCAUGCGCUUUUCAUUCUAAAAAUAAGAUUUCAUGGAUAAUUGUAUGUGCCUUUGCUAGAACAAAACUGAAA
Long non-coding RNA from Haliotis rufescens (red abalone), 3477 nucleotides. RefSeq lists it as uncharacterized. The record is from RefSeq and is a predicted model, not a curated record. The transcript is spliced from 2 exons. NCBI's taxonomy places the organism in Eukaryota, Metazoa, Mollusca, Gastropoda, Lepetellida, Haliotidae.